UUUUUUUGUGUGUGUUUUCUUCCUCUAAGCGUAAUCUAUAUCAUGGCAACUGCAGAUGGCAUCAGUCCUGUAAUUAGUUUUAUUAUUGUCCUAGACCCAAGCCAGGACAACGGUGCCAUCAUACCUGAUCCAUUUUUUAAUUUGUCACCAAGGACACAGAGGGGUUGGCGUCAUAGAAGUCUGAUUCUAACAGCUGUGCCAGCAAAGUGUGUUCUAUCAUGUAUUAAAAUAUUGAUUUGUUUUAUGGUCUGCAGGAAGAGGGAG
This is a non-coding RNA of Pelobates cultripes (western spadefoot toad), 264 nucleotides long. NCBI's taxonomy places the organism in Eukaryota, Metazoa, Chordata, Amphibia, Anura, Pelobatidae. The record is from the annotation of a GenBank genome assembly.